CACGUAGGGUGCGAGCGUUGUCCGGAAUUAUUGGGCGUAAAGAGCUCGUAGGCGGUGUGUCGCGUCGGCCGUGAAAACCUGCAGCUUAACUGUGGGCUUGCGGUCGAUACGGGCAUCACUGGAGUUCGGCAGGGGAGACUGGAAUUCCAGGUGUAGCGGUGAAAUGCGUAGAUAUCUGGAGGAAUACCGGUGGCGAAGGCGGCAUCCUGGACCGACAUUGACGCUGAACGGCGAAAGCUAGGGGAGCAAACGGG
This 254-nucleotide ribosomal RNA is filed under the name uncultured bacterium. RNAcentral describes it as "partial 16S ribosomal RNA". It matches the Rfam family "Bacterial small subunit ribosomal RNA", at positions 524 to 776 of the family's 1533-position model. The record is from RNAcentral.